AGCUGCACAUUGAAGCCCCAGCCUCCACCUUCUUAAACCUCCCCCGCCAUCCCCGUGGAUAUUGUAAAGGCUCAGCCUGGAGUUCAGGUGUUUGGAAUUGGUAGGUGAGUGGGGCUGUUUUGACCGAAAUCUGAUUUCGGCUUCCUUAGGAGAGGCAAGCAAGGCUUGGUUUGCUUUAGGGAAGCAGGCUUUGAAAUGGCUGACCCCCAGAAGACAUUGCUGCCUGGCCACAGGUACAAGGCAUGCGGCAUGUUGGCCACAACCUCUGCUUCUGAGGAUCUUGUGAACUGCCUGUCUGAACUGAAUUGUUUUCCUGACUUGUCUGCAGCCUUGAGGCCAUGUGCAUCCAUCAGCAGCCCUGCUCAGCCCUGCAUCAUGGUGAGUCAGGACCCAGAGAACUCCAGCCAGCUCCCUGAUGGCACACGCUUUCUCAGCUCGCCACCACCAUCACCUGGGCUCCCUCACCACGUGACUUAUUUCAGAUGAAAGAGAGACGGAGGGAAGAACUCGCAGCUCUGAAGCUUCCUCCUUCAGAGGACGUGUAUUGCCAUCAUCCAGCGGGCAUCUCACCUCCCCAAGGUCAGACACUAGUUCUGUGCCCACCACACCCUGGAGUUCUGUUUGAUUUCCUUGUCUGAAAUAGUCUUUUGCUUUGUCAAGUCGGCAUUCAAAUCUUCAAUAAUCUUGACAGGUAGGAUGUAGGCGAGUAGGCAGAUAGGUAUGUGAUGCUUACAUACACAGAUGGAGGGAAUUUUUUUUUUUUUUAAAGAGAGAGGGAGAGGGAGUGGGUGAGAGAGAGGGAGAGAGAGGGAGCGGGUGAGAGAGAGCAUGUGCAUCACUCUGGAAUUUGUGGUGCCUGGCGUGGAACGUGGGUCUCCUGCUAGAGGGCCCGGCACUGUAGCCACUGUGCCACCUCCUGAGCCCCGUGGCUGUGAGGCGUCCGAGCGCAUGGUUUGCACAGACAUUGUGCAGCUCUCAGCUGGGCCUCAUGGGGGAGUGAUUAAGGUUUGCAAAGACCUUCAAAUGAGUGAGCUGGAUAGAUUUCACCUGGGGGAGAAGCCCUGCUGACCAGAGGGGAAGGAGAAAACACCUAAGAGACGCCGGGACGGGACAGACAGGAGACAGUGGCGGAAGAGGAGCGGCGUCUCCACAAAGGACAUCACACCGUCUGGAUGGCAGACGAGGCUGGAGUCAAGCUGCAGAGGACAGAGGACGCCCUGCAGACACUUGCAGUUUCUGCCUGAAAAACAAAGACCUGGAGAGGUUUAAUGGUUUGUAAGUUUCUCUGUGGUUUAAACAACAGGUUUCUAGGGGCCUCCCUCCUCUCCUGGUCUUUACUGAACAAGAGUUCAUGAAAAUAAAACACGUUGACAAAAGUAAA
Molecule: long non-coding RNA, 1381 nt
Organism: Erinaceus europaeus (western European hedgehog)
Lineage: Eukaryota; Metazoa; Chordata; Mammalia; Eulipotyphla; Erinaceidae
Exons: 4
Source: RefSeq, a predicted model, not a curated record